CACACACACACACACACACACACAAACACUCACUCACACACACACACACACACACACCCCUAAAAGGUUGCUACAAAACUUGGGCUUCCUGAGACGCGGUUGUUUUUGCACAGAGCGUGCACUGUAUAAAAAUUCCAGGAGGGGGAGGAAUCAGAAAGUUGAGAGCCAUUAAAAGAGAGAGAAGAAAAAGAAAGAAAGAGAAAGCCCCAGGCACUUGAUGCCUGGAAAUGAUGUAAGACGCAGCCACUCCUCAGUUAGAACCCAACAGCGGCGGGCGCUCAGAUCCACCGCAGCUGCUCUCCAAAUGUCAACGCCCGCGCCCGGGCAAAGCUUGAAACCCAUCCGGGCUGAAGGAGGCCCCUUCUCAUCCACAUUUUCCCCGGCCACGCUUAGCAACCUGGCAACAGCCCUGCUGGGUUCCUAUCUGCAUGGAUUACUGAAGAUUUCCACACUGCCAGACCAACUUCCCAGACAGCAGCCUCCAAGCCCCAGCUACACCCAGGAAAACGCCAGCGGCAGUGUUUUUAGGCUGUCUGAUUCUCUCAGAUACUGCCUCACCCCUUCCUCUGUUGGACAGGAAUGGAAGCCCAUAGUUGUGGGCUGCUGUUAGCCCAAGGACCCGGUAUUCCUCGGUUCUGCAUCUGGAAACCGUACCCGGAAACGGAGAGGUUCAGAUCAAACCAGACUGAGAGAAGGACAUCCAUUCACUGAGGAGGUAUGAAGUACACAGACAGGCAUUCUUGUCCGUCUCAUCCACAGAUGACACUGCAGUUCCUAGAACAGGUUGAUGGAUUCCUCUACUGAUGUCUAAGACAGAUAUUGCGGCUGGAGAUCCAUGCAGGUUCAGAGCUGUCUCACAGCAAGAUGUCACGUGGGAGUAAACUCAAGAGCGCUCAAAACCAGCUGGGACCAGCUUGACUGCAGCUCCAUGAAUUCCUUGGCUCAAGUCCUUCAAGCCUCUUCCCACCUCCAUGCGUUCCCCAUCCAUCAAGCUGCAAAACUCGUGUGAAACCCACCCCUUCCUGUAAGCAGCCUUUCCCUCCCCCCACCAAAAAGAUGAAAGACAGCUCCAGGGCAUGACUGGCACACUCCCAACGCACAGGAACACACCCCAAAAACAAACACAAGACUCACAAGAAGAAAAUGUCACGUUCUCUAAAGACCCCAAGAAGAUCCAGAUGUAGAACUCGCAGUUCCUUCUCCAGCAGCAUGUCUGCCUGCACGCUGCCAUGCCUCCCGCCAUGAUGACAACGAACUAAACCUCUGAAACUCUGCCUCGAGGGAGCUUGUCACAAUGCUCUGCCUUAAUACAAGCCUACAGUAACAGAGCCAGCCGACACUGGACUGCGACCCUGAGCCAAACCGAGUCCCCAUUCAGUUGCUUUGUGCAGUGAUGAGCAACUGACAGCGGUCAAUGGGUUUUCUCUUCCUACAUCAAACCUGUUGGAUAUAGGUGGCUCACAGACCUUUAGUUCACAAACUUUGAUGUCUUCUCAACCUCACUUGGAUAGCAAAGAUCUCAAACUUGUGCGUGGAAGUUAUGAGGUCGUUGAUGGUGAACAUGGCUUUACAGAGGAUGCAAAUACCUCAUGUGAGGUAGAUGAACUGAGGCUGCCUUCCCAUAGGGAAAUGGUAUCUUGGUCACUCCUCUUGAUGUAUGUGGGCUCUGUGACUGCUUUGACCAACAGAAUAGAGUAGAUGUGAACACUGAGUAUUUGGACUUGGACCUUAAGACUUCCUGUCAUGAACACACUCUCUAAGACUCCUGACAUGUUAGAGGUUUAGAAACCACAAGGCUAGAGGUGUAACUUACAAUAUCAGUUAGCAUUGGGCCUUUGUUCCAGCCAUCCAAACCAAGGAGUCAGGCCCAUGAGUGAUGACAUCACAGAUCCCCUGGUUUAGGCCACCUGUGAUGGCUAGCUUUCCUCUCAACCUGAUUGGGCCUUGUGGAUUUGGUCAAGCACUGUUUCGGGUGUAUAUGUGAAGGCUUCUCUGGAUGAGAUUAGUGUUUGAAUUAGUGACUGGGUAAAGCAGACUGCCCACUCUGAUGUAGCUGAGUCUCAUCCAGUCUGCUAAAGGCCGGAAUAGAGCUGAAAGGUGGACUGUGGGGGAAUUCUCCAUCUCUCUGCUGGGACACUGGUCUCCUGCCUUUAGACUUGGACUGGAAUUCAUGUUUUUCUACCUGGUUACCAGAUCUCUGGACUUAGAACUAUAGUACCAGAUCUGCCUUUUAUUGCAGAUCUUGGGACUUCCAGUCUCCCUAAUCAGUGAGUCAGCUCUGAAACACCUUAGCACCCCAGCUUCUGGAUACACACAGGACAGAAGAGUCACUGCUGAACAUGGCCAAAACCCUUCAUGCAAAACUGUAUAUUUGAUCAGUUUUCCUCCCUGUGACAAAACAAAAUACCCAAGGGAACUAACUUAAAAAGGAGAAAGAAGCUGUUGUCUCGGCCAGGCAAAGCUGCCACCUUCUAUGAAACUGCUCCCAGAAUUUUAUUCAACCCGUCCUGGGAAUGCACCUCAAGGGCAUGGAAUCCAGAGCUUCGAUACAAAAACACAGCUCUCGCCUCAAAGGAAAUAAGACUUUGGAGCCAGAUGUGAGUGACCAUGGUCUAGGACCCCCCCUUCCUUCCAGUGUGGUAACAGUUUGAUGACGUUUAUAUAGUUACAGAACAAAGAAAGUCAUGAAACAAGACACUUUAAAGUAGAUGGGUGAGAACAUUAGAUGUGACUUCCAAGGUGUGGCUCUGCUAUUGGGCAUAAAUGCUACUGGAUGGCAUUCUUAGCCUCUGGGCUGGUGGAAGCUAGUGGUCUGUUAGUACACUGUAAAAGGGCUUAACUGGAGAUAACUCCUGGGUCCUCACCACAGUCUCAGUAAGGCACCAAGUUAGCCCAACUUGGUGGGCAACGAUGGCUUUUAAGGGGCUAAGGAAAGAUGAAGAUAGUUGGGCCCCAGAUCCAAAGCAUUACAACUCUCCACAACCCCAGAUUCUAACUAGGCAAUCAGCUUCAUAGGUGGACUAUCUUCCUAUCCUCCUUCAAUCGUCCUCUCGCCCCUAAUACCUUUCUUCCUUUUGUCGUUUUUAAAGGCAGGGUUUCACUGCACAGCCCUGACAGGUUCACAACUCAGGACUCAAAGAGAUCUUCCUGCCGGCGCUGGCACAUCAGGCUAGCUUUUGUACGCUUUAACACAGCGAGGUUUAUUGUAUUUGCUGGGCACUGCGUCACACUCGCCGACUGGUUCUGUGGACCUGAUUUCAUGGAAGUGGGUUUAUAGCAUGACUCUAGCAAAACUUGAUCCUUUAACAAGAACUCACCUCACCGUGUCAGGGCUGCCUCAUUUUCCUAACAGUCACCUGUUCAAGACUGUGCCCACUGCACUCUGAUCGGUGCGCACCACUCCCAUGGGGUGCACAAUACCAUGCUUGUCCUCUUUGAAUGUGUAACAUUUGAAAGCACAGGGGGCAGGAGGCAGAUGUAAGCACACCUUUGAUCUCCCAUCCUUGCGGGUUAGGGAGGGCAGACACCUGGCGGUUGUGGUUGCAAACUGGAAACAACGCUGGCUGGCGGGGACCGGAAUGACCAGAAACGCGGCCGGGCCGCUGCCCGGUUGCUUGGGCAGCUGGAGCUGGUUGUGUGUGUGCAGGCAGAAGGCCUGGUCCCGGGCAGCACCCGGAACGACAGAGCUGGGGCGCCAAGGGCAGACACUUCCUAGGCAGGAGGCCAGGAAAGAUCCGGCAGCUGCGUUGAGCAAAGUCAACAAGGAUGCAGUGACUGCAGCUGUGCACCGAUGCCACGGCUAUCUUGGUGACGAUGCAGGGAGCUUCUAGAAAGGGUAUCUAGAGCGCUCUCUUUCCUUUGCGGAACAAUUAAGGAUUUCAUCCUGGCACCAAGAUGCCACAAUGCUUGCUUUCAAGUUCCCGAGUCUUCGGCGAGAUUGUACUGCCCCCUGCCGUUUAGGUGCUGUCAUUACGCCAUUCCCCGGGCAGUCAGAGCCGUUAAUCACACCAUCAAUGGUGCGGCUUCCGGUUUCCCUUGCACGGUGGGAGGGGGGUCUAGCAGCGCAGGGUUGAAACCCAGUUUUAAAUUCCCAAGUCAGACCUGGGAGGGAACUUCAGAAUUAAAGUCCUUCCUUCCCCACGCUGAGCCGGGUCUUCUGAGAUGUUCCACAAGCUUUGAUCAGUCAGUUGUUAAUGUGGUUUCUGCACUCCCGGGUCUUUUCAGGGUCAACCCAAAAAAACGAGGCCUGGGCUGGAAAAAAAUCUUUCCUGACAUCGCUUCAGCAAUUGGCACGUGACAGCAGGAGAACUGGACCUUCUAAUGAAACAUCCAGUGAUGUACAUGGAUCAUGAGUUCUACACAGCUCACAGAUCAUACCUCGGCUUCCUUAGAAUUCCAGUGCAUUCCAGCAAGACUGACUGCUGAGAACUGUCAGCCUGGCCUUCGGCACCCCGAUGGCUGUGCUGACGACAUUGCCUGAAACAGAGGGACUUUGGCCUGGCAGUGGAUGAACUACAGGUGGUAUUUGUUUAUCAGAAACCUCUUUUAAUUUGCCUCAAUGAUUAACUAACUGCCUUGGGCAGAGGGUGUUUAGUUGCCUGUCAAUCCUAACAUCCAGUAUCUGCUCAAAAACCCCACCCUGCUGCCUUGUACAAAAUCCCUUUCUCCUCCUCUAGCCUGUUCUCCUUUGUCCCUGGAGAGAGAGAGCCUUGGCAUUUGGAUCCCCAAUAAACCUUUAUUUCUACCCAUGGAGUGGUCUAGUAAGUGGUCUUGUUGUGCCCUGGCUUACACUAUGAGCAGUGGAAGGAGGAGCAGCCAUGGAGUUUUGGGGGACACCCUUGUCAAAGCAGUUUGAGUAAUUCCCUGAGAACCACUAGGCAGAGCCUAGAGAGGAGGAACACUGCUGCGAUUCUGAUGGAAGAGAAUCUUACUUGGGCUGUAUCUGUCUGAAAGGUUAGUCUUCCCUGUCAACGUCAUAGCCAAUCUCCAAAGGAGGAAAGACAGAAUUUGCCACUUGAUAAAAUCAAUCAAGAAUCCGAAUGUGAUGGAGAUUUUCAAAGGAUCAAUCAGACAAGGAAACUGUAAUCACACAAGUAGUGUCGUCAUGUUGAAUAUUCCGGUGGCCACAGUCUGAGGUUCGGUAUUGUCUCUAAAGCAUUGCCUUUUCCCUCUGAGCAUUUGAAACAAAAGACAACAUUGCUCAGAAACCUAUGUAACCUUGUAAAUAUUAACCGUCUUCCUUGCUCUUUAAUUUAGCUGUCAUCUUAACAAGGUCUCUGCAGAUUUAACACAAGCAGAAAAAUUGAAUUAAAGCAGGGAUAUUUUAGGAAAUGGAGAGAAAGGAGGUGGGGACAUGGCAAAGUGUGUUUCUUUACUUCUCAGUCUUAUGCUGCAAAGCCUUAAUACCUCCAAUAAGAGAUGAGCACAAACCAAGAAACCAAGAGCUCUUUGUGUAACAUAAAAUAAUUGCUUCUAGGUCUCUGCCACUGUCUGAUGACAUGUAACGGCAAGUGUAGCAUGAGGAAGCUCCAUAAGGGUGCUUUUGGAAGCCUGGUCAUGUUGGUGAAGUGUGCAGCCCUUUUCAGAAUGCACCAGGAAGUCCUAACUUAAGUGACCAAGCAAGUGUAGAGGAAGACUGUCAUGCAAUUGUUUUUAAGACCAUAGCGAAGCACAAUGUCCAUGUUAUUACAUCUUGUUACUGCUUUUGGUCUUUGUGUUUGCAUGUGUGCUGUGUAAGUGGUGGAGCCCAGAAAGGCACUGGGUGUCUUUUUCUAUUGCAUUCCACCUUAUAUUUUGAGACAGAUUUUUCAGUUGACAGGAAGCUCACUGUUUGGCCAUAGAGCUCUUAAGGGAGCAGAGACAGGCAUAGCCUAACACUGGGGUCACAGGCACACAAGGCUGUGCUUGGCUUUCACAUGGGUGGUGCAAACUCAUAUCCAUGUGAUUGCACGGCAAGCGCACUUAUCCGCCGAGUCAUCUCUCAAGCCCCUUACAGUUAUUAUUUAAAUAAUAUGUUAACGACUGUAAUAGUAUUCUAUCUUUUUCAUUUUAGUAGAUCAUGGAGCAAACAGAGUACUUAUUCCCUUAUGUCAAUGCUGGAUAGCCCUGAGGGUUGUACAUGAGAGUGUUUUCUUUCCUGCAAUUUUUCUUUUCCCUUACAGGCGUUCGCUAAAGAACCAGUGACGAAUUAUCUCAGAAGGGACAGACAGCAGGGCAAGAUCAAAGAAAAUCACCAGUUGAGGUUCUAAUUUGGUUUGCCUCCUUCACUGUGCUCAGGGGCUGGGAUCCUCACAGAGUACACGCGCCAGAAGUUCUAUGGAGAUCAGAGUAAAGUCUCCAAAGAUGUUAAAGUCUCAUAACUGUAAAUGUCGUCUUAUGUAGCAGAAGGGACAUUGUGGAGGCAUUAAAGAUCUUGAGAUGGGAGAUCCUGGAUUAUGGGGGUGGACCUAAUCCCAAUUCAGAGAUCCUCAGACAUGAAAGAGUAGGCCCCACACCCAAGAGAAGUUAGCCAAUGUAAACUGCACUCAAUGGGUUUAGAGAGAGAGAGAACAAGAAGUUGGGUGGGUAAGAAGACUGAGGUAAGAAGACUGAGGUAAGAAGACUGAGGUAAGAAGACUGAGGUAGAUCUGGGAGAAACUGGGGUAAAUGAUUAAGAAAACAUUCUAUAAAAAUUUCAAAGGCUUAAUGUUAUUCUAAAAAUAAAACAAAAAGAAAAAACA
Non-coding RNA from Cricetulus griseus (Chinese hamster), 6719 nucleotides. The record is from RefSeq and is a predicted model, not a curated record. NCBI's taxonomy places the organism in Eukaryota, Metazoa, Chordata, Mammalia, Rodentia, Cricetidae.